AGGACGAACGCUGGCGGCGUGCUUAACACAUGCAAGUCGAACGGUGAACCGGGCUUAGGCCUGGGGAUCAGUGGCGAACGGGUGCGUAACACGUGGGCAACCUGCCCCAGACUCAGGGAUAACCCCGGGGAAACCGGGGCUAAUACCCGAUACUCCGAUCGAACCACAUGGCUCGAUCGGGAAAGCUCCGACGGUCUGGGAUGGGCCCGCGGCCUAUCAGCUUGUUGGUGGGUAACGCCUACCAAGGCGACGACGGGUAGCUGGUCUGAGAGGACGACCAGCCACACUGGAACUGAGAUACGGUCCAGACUCCUACGGGAGGCAGCAGUGGGAAUCUGCACAAGUGGGCGAAAGCCUGAUGCAGGCGACCGCCGCGGUGGGGGACGAAGUCGCCGUUUCGGGUUACGUAAACCCCGUUUCGGCGAGGGACGAAGCGAC
RNAcentral lists this ribosomal RNA (438 nucleotides) under uncultured soil bacterium. Its description in RNAcentral is "bacterial SSU rRNA". It matches the Rfam family "Bacterial small subunit ribosomal RNA", at positions 26 to 454 of the family's 1533-position model. The record is from RNAcentral.